Molecule: ribosomal RNA, 520 nt
Filed under: uncultured Glomus
Lineage: Eukaryota; Fungi; Glomeromycota; Glomeromycetes; Glomerales; Glomeraceae
Description: SSU rRNA
Rfam family: Eukaryotic small subunit ribosomal RNA
Source: RNAcentral
AGCAGCCGCGGUAAUUCCAGCUCCAAUAGCGUAUAUUAAAGUUGUUGCAGUUAAAAAGCUCGUAGUUGAAUUUCGGGAUCAAUUUGCUGGUCGUGCCUCCGGUACGUACUGGUAUUUAUUGGUUUCUCCCUUCUGACUAACCAUGAUGUCAUUCAUUUGGUGUUGUGGGGAAUCAGGACUGUUACUUUGAAAAAAUUAGAGUGUUUAAAGCAGGCAUAAGCUUGAAUACAUUAGCAUGGAAUAAUGAAAUAGGACGUUUGAUCCUAUUUUGUUGGUUUCUAGGAUCGACGUAAUGAUUAAUAGGGAUAGUUGGGGGCAUUAGUAUUCAAUUGUCAGAGGUGAAAUUCUUGGAUUUAUUGAAGACUAACUACUGCGAAAGCAUUUGCCAAGGAUGUUUUCAUUAAUCAAGAACGAAAGUUAGGGGAUCGAAGACGAUCAGAUACCGUCGUAGUCUUAACCAUAAACUAUGCCGACUAGGGAUCGGAUGAUGUUAAUUUUUUAAUGACUCAUUCGGCGUACC